This is a non-coding RNA of Anabaena sp. CRKS33, 98 nucleotides long. The record is from Rfam. NCBI's taxonomy places the organism in Bacteria, Bacillati, Cyanobacteriota, Cyanophyceae, Nostocales, Nostocaceae.
AAAAUGGAGAGUUUGAUCCUGGCUCAGGAUGAACGCUGGCGGUAUGCUUAACACAUGCAAGUCGAACGGUCUUUUAGGAGACAGUGGCGGACGGGUGA